Molecule: non-coding RNA, 46 nt
Filed under: Trichobilharzia regenti
Lineage: Eukaryota; Metazoa; Platyhelminthes; Trematoda; Strigeidida; Schistosomatidae
Source: RNAcentral
GUGCUGAUGAAGAGUCCCAAAUUAGGACGAAACAGCCGUCCAGUAU